UGGGGAAUAUUGCACAAUGGGGGAAACCCUGAUGCAGCGACGCCGCGUGAAGGAAGAAGUAUUUCGGUAUGUAAACUUCUAUCAGCAGGGAAGAAAAUGACGGUACCUGACUAAGAAGCCCCGGCUAACUACGUGCCAGCAGCCGCGGUAAUACGUAGGGGGCAAGCGUUAUCCGGAUUUACUGGGUGUAAAGGGAGCGUAGACGGCGAUGCAAGCCAGAUGUGAAAGCCCGGGGCUCAACCCCGGGACUGCAUUUGGAACUGUGUGGCUGGAGUGUCGGAGAGGCAAGUGGAAUUCCUAGUGUAGCGGUGAAAUGCGUAGAUAUUAGGAGGAACACCAGUGGUGAAGGCGGCUCUCUGGUCUGCAACUGACGCUGAGGCUCGAAAGCAUGGGUAGCGAACAGG
RNAcentral lists this ribosomal RNA (404 nucleotides) under uncultured bacterium. RNAcentral describes it as "bacterial SSU rRNA". It matches the Rfam family "Bacterial small subunit ribosomal RNA", at positions 355 to 776 of the family's 1533-position model. The record is from RNAcentral.